Long non-coding RNA from Vigna angularis (adzuki bean), 2233 nucleotides. RefSeq lists it as uncharacterized. Lineage: Eukaryota; Viridiplantae; Streptophyta; Magnoliopsida; Fabales; Fabaceae. The record is from RefSeq and is a predicted model, not a curated record. The transcript has 2 exons.
CAAUUUUCAGUUUCUAACUUCCCUCCUAGACCCAACAUUUCCCAAAUCUAUCAUCGCUCUUAAACUUUCCCCCUUUCCGAAAUCGAAAGUUGCGUUUCUUUUCCCUAAAAUUUUCCAAACCAUCACAUUUUCUCUGCUUUCCCUAAACUUUUCGUGCAAGGUUUUCGGUUUUCCCCCACAACUCAGUUCGUGCUCAAGUCAUCAUCAUUUUCAGGUCUUGUUAGGUCGUUCAUUGUGCGUCGAUCGUCAAUUCAGCGUCUUUGUCAUUGCGGUCGCCGUUACGGUCUCUGUUGCGCUCGUCGUUACGGUCUUUGUUGCGCUCGCCGUUACGGUCUAUGCUACGCUCGCCAUUGCACUCACCACUGUGGUCGUCGUUGCGCUCGCCACUACGGUCGUUGUUGCGCUCGCCGCUGCGUCGUCAGUUGUAGUCGCCAUGGAGUCCUCAGUUGUGGUCGUCGUUGCGCUCGCUGCUACGGUCGUCGUUGCGCUCACCAUUGCGUCGUUAGUUGCAGUCGCCAUGGAGUCCUCAGUUACGGUCGCCGUCAUCGCUCAUCAUCGCUAGGGUUCACCGUCAUUAAACCUAGGUUUCCUCUUCCAGGUUACAAUUUUAAAACCUCUUUCGAAUGAGAUCUCACAGCGGUGAAAGCUAGCUUGCCUUUUCAAGUUACAAUUUUAAAACACCUCAUUAUUUAUUAUCUAGAAACAGCCUUAACUUUUAUUUCUCUACCAUGCUCUACUUCUUAGUCAUCUGGGAUGUUGCUGAUACUUGAAUUUAUAAAAACGGAUAUGGGGUCUUCAUACUCUAUGAGCCUCGUUAAGGUUAACGAAAUUUAUCAACUUUUGAUGCUACAGUCAUUCUCAACUUGCAUUACCAUACAGUCUACAAAUUGAAAUUUUCUCAUCUUCGUGCCUGGGGCUGAAGCACCAUUACACAGAUUGUAUAAUCACUAUUGUUACCAUUUUAUGAAAAUAUAAAUCUAGACAUCAUACUAACAUUUAACCUGUGGUUAAAUGAAUGUCAAAAAUAGUUGUGCUUAGAUGAACUGUUACUAAGUGAGACUAAUUUUUGUGAAUGAAACUCUAAACAAUUUACUGUGAUUUGAGUGAAGUAGUUAUGAGAAUGUUUCUUUCUUUCUAUAUCCUUUAGUUUCUUCAUUAUUAGUUUCAUAUCUUCAUGUUUCUGGUUUGCUUAUUAGGGGCACAUAUCAAAGCUCUUAAAAUCUCUAAAACUAUACACUUAUAGAUCUACAAUCAAAUACUUAAAUUCCUUCUUGAAUAUGGUUGUAAUUGACAAUUUCUCUUGCUUCCAUACCACUCUAUUCGUUUCACUUAACUAUUGCCAAGCAUCUUUGUUUUGUAGUUGAUAUAUUUCUUUAUUUUGAAAUUUGCAGGAGGUUAGUUUUAUGGUAUUGGAGAAGCUUGUUGUUGUAGGAAUUAGGGAUCAACCUGUUGUUUUUGUUACUCAUAGGUUACUCUAGCUGCCUAUAUUGAACUUUUGUGCACUUUACUUAGUUGUAGAGUCCAGGCUAAUGCACUUUACUUGUGUUGAUUGGAAUUGGUUUCUAUCAGAAGCAGUACAAGCAGGACUUCAAAAAAAAUUCCAAUACUGCGAAAGUUUAUGAAGGUGCUUAGAUUACUCAGUAAAUUAGGUCCUUCAAGUUAUCAUAAAACAUUGCCUUCAAUGCCGUGAGGAGAAAGGUUUUUUUUUUCUAUUUGGCUAAUGAUGCUUUGAUUAACAAGAAAAGUUAUUCCAAAUUUGUUUAUUUUUCUAGGUGGCUUUCUUUCAUUUAAAGGACAUGAUGAGAAAGUGGUAGUCUUAAUUAAAAUCUGAUAAUAAAGUUCAACCUGCAAUCUUUAACAUUGAUGCAAUUUGACCUUUGAGAUCAUUGCCUUUCUUUACCAUUUUUCUUUUGGUCUACAGACACUCCACCAGAACCUGUAAAAAAGAAAGCCUCAAGUGGAUCCCUUAAUAGAGUAAGUUAUUGAUGCAAAUGAGUUCGAGUCUUCUCUGACUACAAGAGGAUUAUCUCAUGCUAGCAACAUUUUGGGGGGUUUAUGAUGUUUUGUUUUUUUAGGAUAGAAUUAUAUUUAGUCUAUUAUGUAUUUUGACCAUGUUAGAUUUUUUAAUCAAUCUUGUAACGUUAUUUAAACAUUAUGUAUUUUUUUUAUAUUUACAUUGUAAUUGUUAAUGAAUGUAUGUUAUUUUAAAUCAUCAAUAAAAUUAAUUUUGAAU